This 157-nucleotide non-coding RNA is filed under the name Bacillus cereus. Its description in RNAcentral is "GlcN6P sequence". It matches the Rfam family "glmS glucosamine-6-phosphate activated ribozyme aptamer". From Rfam's summary of the family: This entry contains a glucosamine-6-phosphate activated ribozyme that is found in the mRNA for GlmS. GlmS is an enzyme that uses fructose-6-phosphate and glutamine to generate glucosamine-6-phosphate. The ribozyme catalyses self cleavage of the glmS mRNA that is thought to regulate GlmS activity. Lineage: Bacteria; Bacillati; Bacillota; Bacilli; Caryophanales; Bacillaceae. The record is from RNAcentral.
UAAAUUAUAAAAGCGCCAGAACUACAAGUAGUGUAGUUGACGAGGUGGAGUUUUAUCGAGAUUUCGGCGGAUGACUCCCGGUUGUUCAUCAUAACCGCAAGCUUUUACUUAAAUCAUUAAGGUGACUUAAUGGACAAAGGUGAAAGUGUGAUGAGAG